Passer domesticus (house sparrow) is the source of this 1064-nucleotide long non-coding RNA. RefSeq lists it as uncharacterized. Lineage: Eukaryota; Metazoa; Chordata; Aves; Passeriformes; Passeridae. The record is from RefSeq and is a predicted model, not a curated record. The transcript is spliced from 3 exons.
GUCGAGCUGCACCCCUGGGGCACCAUUUGUGUAUUUGCAGAUUUCCUUUGUUCAGGGGCCUACAUGCUGUCCUUUGUUACUUCAGGAGUGCUCCCAGGAUGGAUGCCUGACCUUGUCAUUGUGCAAAUGAAAGAACUGCUGCCAAAACAAAAGGCAGAGAGAAUUCCUUCCAGGGUUUGGAGCCCCCCUGGACAGGACCCAUUCUACUGAUCAAGCAAGGCUGAACAGUCCCACAGCCCUAAACACAGCUGCAAAGUGUCCUUGUGCCCAUCACCCUCGAUCCAGCAGGGCUGCAGAGGGAACAAACUCUCACUUUAACUGAAAAGACAAAACCUUGUACAGGGCCUGGCCUGGAAGGCCUGGAUGUGAUGGCCUCUCCCAGGGAGAGAGACCAGAGGCCCUAGGAGGCUGUCAAGAAAGAUGUCUGUGAGUAGUCCACCAAAGGGACUGAACAUUUGCAGCAAGGAAAGCAGAGACCUGGGAGGACCAAAUGCAGACAAGCCUUCUGUGAGGAUGAGCAAGCAGUUCUGAGCAAGGAGCAGGGAAAUAAAGGAAAGAGGGACUCUAAGUUGUUGAACUUGGCUGCAGCACUGCAGGAUGCAGAUAUUUCUUUUGUCUGUGAUAAAUAUCAGUCCAUUUAGCAGCUUCUGAAUUCCUAGGCUAAAAUGCUGCUUCCACAGGAACUUCUACAGAUGAUUUUGGGUUAGACUGUCAAAUUAAGGACUCAUUCAGAGGUCCUGUCUAAGAAGACCAACAUAUUUUAUAAACAAUAUUCACUUUCCAUAAACAAUUGCUGCAUGCUUUUAUUUCCUUUUGGUUCAGGAAAAAUAAAAAAGCUGACAUACCCUUUCUGAGCCUUACUUUGCUAUGUCUUGUUUAUUUCUGCCCUGAAUACACCUGAGGAAUUUAGACAAGAAACCAAACAUGCUAUUGGUAGCUUCAGCACAAAUUUUUAAGAAAGGGAUCUCAAUUGCAACCUUCUGUCAUAGGCCAUAACAGUAACCAUUCCCAUCAACCCCAAAUUUAACUGUUUGUGGCACUUGUUAAAUAGGUGACUAAGUGAU